GAGAAGAGGAUGGCAAUUUUUAUUUUCUCCAUAUAUACCUCUUUGUUUGAUUUGUGUCACUUUUGCUAUUAAGAAUAUCUCAUAAAGUGAAAAAUGUGAUGUAAGUAUUCUUUCAGAGAAGGUUGGCUUGAUUUUUGGAAACAACUCUGAAUAUGAUGAGUAUUCAAGAUGAUUAAGCAAUUCUAUGAAAAAUUCAGAAUGUGACUAUGAAAUAAUGAGUCUGUGCUUUGUUUUCAGGUUUCAAAAUCUAAACCAAAGGUUUCUACAAUGGCAGUUGCACAAUGCUUUUAAACAAAGGUAGUAGCACUGGAAUAGCCACCUGCCUCCAGGACUGAGGAAGAUAGUAAUUUAGAUAUUCAAAUUCUGGCAUUUCAAAAGCAGUCAGUUAUAAUACUUACAGUCACAUUCACUAUGUAUUUGACAUUUGCAUAUAUGUAGAAAGUGACCUUAGUUUACCUGAAUUAAUCAGCAGAAAAAGGAGAAUGAAUCCAAGCUGGCAAAUCCACCAAUGACACCCACUGUUGAGCAGCUAGAAUUCAUUCUAACGUACAUUAUUCUCAUCCAUUAUUUAUUUUUUAUGCUAACACAUCUGUGUUAGAGAGUCUUAUGAUUUUUCACUAUUUAGGUAUUUUAAAAUCAUAUUGACAUACUUUCCCCUGUCACGCUGGCCUUAUGAGACAAGCAUUUUAAGUGUUACAAGGAGGUGCUGUUACUUCUACAAAGGUUAUUGUGGGAAGGAUAUAAGUACUCAGUUGGAAACAGUAGUGCCAUACAUGAGAAAAAAAUGUCACACAGUCCCAGGAGCAUUGUAACAAGAGUGGAGGGUACAUAAAUGAUCUCAGGUCACCAGUUUAGUGCAGAUAACAGAAGGCAAAAUAUGAACCCAAGUUCCCUCUAUGGAUAUAAACUGGAAAAUGCAGAGGAAUCUGCAGCACGGUAUCCUAGGAGCAGAACAGGGUGCGAACGUAUCCUGUGACUGGUUAUCUACAGAGUGCUGGGAUUGGGUCCAAGUACUUUGAUCCUCUAGAGGAGCAAGACAGCUUCACCAUGUAAAGCUAAUUUGGUAGAGUUCAUGGGGAGUACAGAGCUGGGUCCUACCGCGGGCUGCCCUGGAGACCUCACUGCAGGGCACACAAGGUCUCCCCCAACAGAAAUCCUUGAUGCUGUUGCUAUUGUUUUUUAGUUCCUGAGAUGCAGUUUUGUCACCCCCCAGAACAAUUACAAGGGAAAUAAGAAUUCACUGUGUUCUGAUCUGCUGCUGCUUCUGACUGCAGGAUAUACGCAGUAGUCCUCAUUAGAACAGGAA
Molecule: long non-coding RNA, 1306 nt
Filed under: Oryctolagus cuniculus (rabbit)
Lineage: Eukaryota; Metazoa; Chordata; Mammalia; Lagomorpha; Leporidae
Description: lncRNA (ENSOCUG00000031228.1)
Source: RNAcentral